RNAcentral lists this ribosomal RNA (479 nucleotides) under uncultured bacterium. RNAcentral describes it as "partial 16S ribosomal RNA". It matches the Rfam family "Bacterial small subunit ribosomal RNA", at positions 28 to 523 of the family's 1533-position model. The record is from RNAcentral.
GACGAACGCUGGCGGCGUGCUUAACACAUGCAAGUCGAGCGGUAAGGCCCUUCGGGGUACACGAGCGGCGAACGGGUGAGUAACACGUGAGCAAUCUGCCCUUCACUCUGGGAUAACCCCCGGAAACGGGAGCUAAUACCGGAUACGACCACUUCGGACAUCCGAUGGUGGUGGAAAGUUCCGGCGGUGAAGGAUGAGCUCGCGGCCUAUCAGCUUGUUGGUGGGGUAACGGCCCACCAAGGCUUCGACGGGUAGCCGGCCUGAGAGGGUGACCGGCCACACUGGGACUGAGACACGGCCCAGACUCCUACGGGAGGCAGCAGUGGGGAAUAUUGGACAAUGGACGAAAGCCUGAUCCAGCAACGCCGCGUGAGGGAUGACGGCCUUCGGGUUGUAAACCUCUUUCAGCGCAGACGAAGCGAAAGUGACGGUAUGCGCAGAAGAAGCACCGGCCAACUACGUGCCAGCCGCCGCCGUAA